RNAcentral lists this transfer RNA (72 nucleotides) under Stegodyphus mimosarum. It matches the Rfam family "tRNA". Rfam says of the family: Transfer RNA (tRNA) molecules are approximately 80 nucleotides in length. Their secondary structure includes four short double-helical elements and three loops (D, anti-codon, and T loops). Lineage: Eukaryota; Metazoa; Arthropoda; Arachnida; Araneae; Eresidae. The record is from Rfam by way of RNAcentral.
GCCAUCGUGGUACAGCGGUCAGCACGCAGGGACUCGAACCAGAAGUCCGUGGUUCGAGUCCCGGCGAAGGCG